UCGAGACCCGAACGAACGGACGAUCGCGAACGUGUUAUUUAUUCACUUACCUACCACUCCGGCUCGUCGCUCCUCGCGGAGCGGCGAGACGGGGGAAACGAAACCCCGGCGCAGUGGGCGCCAAGGAACACUUUUUGGAAGCGCCGUCGCGGCCUCCUCCCUUUACUCCCCUCGUCGUGCGUACAAAUACAUACAUGUACGCACACGACGGCAGGAAGGAGGGCGGAACGCGGGCGUGGAUAUAGAUAUCGUAUUCUGUACGACUCUCGGCAACGGAUAUCUAGGCUCUCGCAUCGAUGAAGAACGUAGCGAAAUGCGAUACUUGGUGUGAAUUGCAGAAUCCCGUGAACCAUCGAGUCUUUGAACGCAAGUUGCGCCCGAGGCCAUCCGGUCGAGGGCACGCCUGCCUGGGCGUCACGCCUCCCGUCGCUCCCCACAACUCCAGUAAGUAGUGCGGAUGCGGAGAUUGGCCCACCGUGCCCCGUGCGCGGCGGGUCGAAGUACGGGCCGUCGCCGGGCCGUGCGCGGCGAAUGGUGGACGAAUACAUACAACAUCGUUGUUUGUCUGUUUGUUUGUGCCUACUCUCCGUGCCUCGGCCCUGAAUACAACGCGACGUGCCGUCGUCGGACCCCAUACCGCGGACUAAUUAAUCUAGCCCUCGGAACG
RNAcentral lists this unclassified non-coding RNA (667 nucleotides) under Crocus korolkowii. Its description in RNAcentral is "sequence contains ITS1, 5.8S rRNA gene and ITS2". The stretch from base 262 to 417 matches the Rfam family "5.8S ribosomal RNA". Lineage: Eukaryota; Viridiplantae; Streptophyta; Magnoliopsida; Asparagales; Iridaceae. The record is from RNAcentral.